Molecule: long non-coding RNA, 3323 nt
Organism: Homo sapiens (human)
Lineage: Eukaryota; Metazoa; Chordata; Mammalia; Primates; Hominidae
Exons: 2
Source: RefSeq, a predicted model, not a curated record
CAUGUGCCUAUCGUCCCAGCUACUCAGGAGGCUGAAGUGGGAGGAUUAUUUGCGCCCAGAAAUUUGAGGCCACAGUGUGGUAUAUCAUCUGUCAAUAGCCACUGCACUACAAACUGGGCAUCCUAGCAAGAACCUGUAUCUCCAAAAAAAAAAAACUUGAAAAGUGAUUAAGACUAUCCACGUGUUUUUUCUUACUGUUUCUGUCUACUUCCUAAUCUGCAGAUCUGCAAAUGGAAUAAAUGCAAAUGGGAUAAAUGCAAAAUGGAAUAAAUGUCUGGCAGAAGUCAGAAUCUGGAAUUUUUACCAAUUUUGUCCAAUUUAAUUUUACAGUCAACUUGAUCAGCUACUGAGGUGUGUUGGAAGUCAUAGCCACAAUAUUUUGCAGCUCCUCCCAUCAAGGUAGUGUUUGUUUUCCCAGCCCUAGUAUUUGAGCUGGCCUUGUGCCUUGCUUUAACCAAUAAAAUGAGCAGAUGUGUUUCUGGGCUGGUUCUGAGACCUUAAGAGACCUUCUGCUUCAGUCUCUUGGGGUCCUGCUGGCAUGUAAAGAAGCUCAGGCUAAGCCAUGGACGGAUGAGAGACCACGUGGGGAGAUUCCCAACAAGUCCCAACCCACAUCACAUGGAAGAAAGUCAUACAGCAGCGCCCUCAUGCAGAAUGGUGGACCCAGAUGCACAUAACUUGCAAAGAAAUUGUCUGAAAGGAGGUGGCCGUCAGUCAGAGUGAAGAAGGUACCCUUUUCAGACUGUUACAUGAAUUUUAAAUUCCAACACUUUGGGCAGCUGAGGUGGGAGGAUCACUUGAACCCAGAAGUUCAAGACCAGCCUGGGCAACAUAGCGAGACUCCAUCUCUGAAAAAGAAAAAAAAAUUAGUGGGACAUGGUGGCGUGCACCUGUAGUCCCAGCUAGUCAGGAGGCUGAGGCAAAAUAAUCACUUGAGCCCAGGAGGUCAAGACCGCAGGGCGUCAUGAUUGUGCAAUGCAGUCCAGCCUGAGCAACAGAAUGAGACCCUGUCUGAAAACAAACCAACCAACCACUUCUAGAAGCACUUGCAUAUAGUGAAGAAUUCAUAAUUGAGUGGCAGAGAGACAGAUUAUGAGGCAUCCUUCCUGAUGGAGUGUUUUAUAGGAAAGGUAAUGUGGCUCUGGAACUAGCGGCUGUAGGGGCUGGCUUCCGGAUCCUGGCAUCAACAGCAUGUUUUGAUAGCCCAGGUCUAUAAAGUGGAUUUGUGAGUCACUCCUGAAGCUCAGCCUGUACACUGUUUCUUUUUUCUUUUUUUUUUUUUUUGAGAUGGAGUCUCUCUCUGCCGCCCAGGCAGGAGUAUAGUGGCACGAUCUUGGCUCACUGCAACCUCCGCCUCCCGGGUUCAAGCAAUUCUCCUGCCUCAGCCUCCUGGGUAGCUGGGACUACAGGCGAGGGCCACCACACCCAGCUAAUUUUUGUAUUUUUAGUAGAGACAGGGUUUCACCAUAUUGGCCAGGCUGGUCUCAAACUCCUGACCUUGUGAUCUGCCCACCUCGGCCUCCCAAAGUGCUUAUACGCUGUUUCUUUAAUCUGACAAAUUUUAUGAUAUACCAUGUAAUAAGUCCCUUUUGGCUUAAACCAGCUAAGGGUAGAUUUUACCUCUGCGUUGAACCCAGACCAAUGCAUCUCCUCUAAGAAAAAUUAUUGUCAAUAAUUCUCAAACAAUCGCCUCUCUAAUUUAAAAAGCAAAGUAAAUUCAGUUAACUUGUUAACAAUUUCCUGAGUUCAUAAAACACAUAUUCCAGGAAGAUAAGCCUUUUUUCAAACAAAGAAUUCAUAGAGCUAUUUCACAUUUACAUUGUCUAAACUUUCUAAAAAUAAGUGUUUUUCAGACAUUUAAAAAUUAAUCCAGGCAGGGUGUAGGGGCUUGUGCCUGUAAUCCCAGCACUUUGGGAGUCUGGGGCAAGAGGAUUGCUUGAGCCCAGGAGUUCAAGACCAGCAUUGGCAAGAUAGUGAGACCCUGUCUCUACGAAAACAUUUUUAAGGCUUGGUGCAGUGGCUUAUGCCUGGAUUCCCAACACUCUGGGAGGCUGAUGCAGGUGAAUCACUUGAGGUCAGGAGUUCAAGGGCAGCCUGGCCAACAUGGCAAAACCCCAUCUUUACAGAAAAUAAAAAAGUUAGCCAGGCGUGGUGGCGCACAUCUGUAAUCCCAGCUACUAGGAGGCUGAGGCAGGAGGUAGAGGUUGCAGUGAGCCAAGAUCACACCACUGCACUCCACUCCAGCCUGGGCAACAGAACGAGACUCCAUCUCAAAAAAAAAAAAUGUUUUUUAAUUAGCUGGGUUAAUUUUUUAAUUAGUCUCUAGUCCCAGCUACUCAGAAGGCUGAGAUGGGAGGAUCUCUUGAGCUUGGAAGCUCAAGGCUGCAGUGAGCCAUGAUCAUGCCACUGCAUUCCAGCCUGGGUGACAGAGUAAGACCUUGUCUCAAAAAUAAAAAUAAAAAUUAAUCCAUGUUUAUUAAGACAAUUUUUAAGAUGAUUUUUGAAAGGUAAUUUACGUUAUCUCAGCAAAAUUUUCAAUAAUGUGAACUACAAGGCAUAAAUCUUUAGCAAAAAGAUUUUUAUUCAAUAUUUUAUUAUCAAACAUUCAAACAGAAAAGUUGAAAGAAUUAUACAGUGGGCCAUAUCAUAUAAUAUACUCAUCAUCUAGAUUCUACAAUUAACAGUUAUUUUUAUCACAUGUCUAAUGAUCUAUGCAUCACUCUAUUCAUCCAUUAAUUCAUUUUUGUUUAUAUAUUUCAAAGUGAUUUGCAAACAUGAGUACACUUCACACCUGAACACUUUAGCACAGCAAAAGGAUUUUUUUCAGGUAUAGUAUUUGUCCACUGGAGGGCCUCCAAAUGCCAUAAAAUGCAUUAAAAGUAAGUUCAUCUGUAGUCCCCAAGAACUGGAGAAGGUCCAGGGAAGGAGAUGCAUGGAGUGUAAAUUGCAUCAAUUAGGGCAAGAGACUCAAUCUGAAAUCCAGAAAGAAGAUUUCAACAUUUUUUAUCUUUACCCUCAGAAUUUCUCUUCCUCUUUUUACAGCUACUUUCAUUGUAAAGGAGAAAAUAUAUCACAGGCCUCUCUCCCCAACAAAUGAUUUGAGCUCUUGAAGGUAGCAAUUCUUUAGACCAGAAACUCAGGAAACUUGAAGUCAAGAUGUUGUUAUAUUUGUGGAAAUGAGUUGAUGACAUAAAUUAAAUGUUUGUUAGUUUGUUGAUUGUUAACUCUCCACGAGGACAGGGAUUUAGUUAUCACUUGUCCCCAGAAUGUAGACAGACACUCGUUGGAACAUACUAGUGCUCAAUAAAUAUUUACUGAAGAAA